Molecule: ribosomal RNA, 205 nt
Filed under: uncultured bacterium
Lineage: Bacteria
Description: partial 16S ribosomal RNA
Rfam family: Bacterial small subunit ribosomal RNA
Source: RNAcentral
GGAGCAGGCGGCCGCAAGGGUCUGUGGUGAAAGACCGAAGCUAAACUUCGGUAAGCCAUGGAAACCGGGCGGCUAGAGUGCGGAAGAGGAUCGUGGAAUUCCAUGUGUAGCGGUGAAAUGCGUAGAUAUAUGGAGGAACACCAGUGGCGAAGGCGACGGUCUGGGCCGCAACUGACGCUCAUUCCCGAAAGCGUGGGAGCAAAUA